Non-coding RNA from Pelobates cultripes (western spadefoot toad), 1003 nucleotides. The record is from the annotation of a GenBank genome assembly. NCBI's taxonomy places the organism in Eukaryota, Metazoa, Chordata, Amphibia, Anura, Pelobatidae.
ACACACACAAACACACAGACUGCUGAGUCCAUACACACAGACUGCUGAGUCCAUACACACAGACACACUGCUGAGUUCAUACACACACACUGCUGAGGCAAUACACACACACUGCUGAGUCCAUACACACAGGAAGACUGCUGAGUCCAUAUACACACAGUGCUGAGUCCAUGCACACACACUGCUGAGUCCAUACACACAUACACACAAAAACACACAGACUGCUGAGUCUAUACACACACACACACACACACAAACACAAACUGCUGAGUCCAUACACACAGACAGACUGCUGAGUCCAUACACACACACUGCUGAGUCCAUGCACACAGACAGACUGCUGAGUCAAUACACACAUACUGCUGAGUUCAUACACACAGACAGACUGCUGAGUCCAUACACACAGACAGGCUGCUGAGUUCAUACACACACACUGCCGAGUCCAUACACACAGACAGACUGCUGAGUCCAUACACAUACAGUGCUGAGUCCAUACACACAGACAGACUGCUGAGUCCAUACACACACAGUGCUGAGUUCAUACACACACACUGCUGAGUCCAUACACACACACUGCUGAGUUCAUACACACAUACAGACUGCUGAGUCCAUACACACACACUGCUGAGUUCAUACACACACACACUGCUGAGUCCAUACACACAGACAGACUGCUGAAUCCAUACACACACUGCUGAGUCCAUACACACAGACAGACUGCUGAGUCCAUACAUACACACACACACAGACUGCUGAGACCAUACACACACACAGACUGCUGAGUCCACACACAGACUGCUGAGUCCACACACAGACACAGACUGCUAGUCCAUACACACACACACUGCUGAGUCCAUACACCCACACACAGACUGGUGAGUCCAUACACACACACAGCCAGCUGAGUCCUUACACACACAGUGCUGAGUCCAUACACACACACACGGACUGACUGCUGAGUCCAUACACACACAGACUGCUGAGUCCACACACACACACACAC